Molecule: long non-coding RNA, 698 nt
Filed under: Homo sapiens (human)
Lineage: Eukaryota; Metazoa; Chordata; Mammalia; Primates; Hominidae
Description: non-protein coding lnc-MRPS6-3:1
Source: RNAcentral
CUGUCUUCUAUUCCUCCCCAGCUGUUUGUGUUUCAGGCCUUCUGAGGGGGAUCAUGCUGAAGGCACCUCCAGGGAGAGAGGAUGUGGGGGGAGCAGCAAUGGCAGAGACCUAUGUCCCAAAUGGAACCCAUGGCUCCAAGGCUGAGGCUCCUCAAGCCUCCAGCUAGACCCCCUUUUUCCUCAUCUCCCUCCCUGGGAACUCAACCUAGCCACAGUUCACUGGAGACAGCAACUCUCUUCCCCUCAGUUGGGUAAGGGACUUUGCAACCCUGGGAAAAUGUAGAGACUAGUGUAGAAUCAAUGAGGAGCAGAAUCAAAACCAGAAUACUAUCAUAUUUUACUGAUUCUAAGGUGCACAGUGUUUUACAUUUUACCAUCUUGGGAAUUAGAAUGCAUUUUACAAUCGAUGGCAUCAGGCCACGCACAGUGGCUCACACCUGUAAUCUCAGCAGUUUGGGAGGCUGAAGCAGGUGGAUCGCCCAAGGUCAGGAGUUUGAGACCAGCCCGGUCAACAUGGCAAAACCCUGUCUCUACUAAAAAUACAAAAAUUAGCUGGGCAUGGGGUGGGCACCCUAUAAUGCCAGCUACUCAGGAGGCUGAGGCAGAAGAAUAGCUUGAAUCUGGGGGGUGCGGCAUGGAGGUUGCAGUGAACCGAGGCUGUGCCACUUCACUCUGGCCUGGCAAAAGAGUGAAACUCU